CUACGGGAGGCAGCAGUAAGGAAUCUUCCGCAAUGGGCGAAAGCCUGACGGAGCAACGCCGCGUGGGCGAUGAAGGCCUUCGGGUCGUAAAGCCCUUUUCUGUGGGACGAUAAUGACGGUACCACAGGAAUAAGCCACGGCUAACUACGUGCCAGCAGCCGCGGUAAUACGUAGGUGGCUAGCGUUAUCCGGAUUCACUGGGCGUAAAGAGCGCGUAGGCGGUGUGCUAAGUUGGACGUGAAAGCCCCCGGCUUAACCGGGGGAGGUCGUCCAAUACUGGUGCACUUGAGGGCAGGAGAGGGAGGUGAAAUUCCCGGUGUAGUGGUGAAAUGCGUAGAUAUCGGGAGGAACACCAGUGGCGAAGGCGGCCUCCUGGCCUGUUCCUGACACUAAGACGCGAAAGCUAGGGGAGCGAACGGGAUUAGAUCCCCCUGUAGU
RNAcentral lists this ribosomal RNA (438 nucleotides) under uncultured bacterium. RNAcentral's name for it is "partial 16S ribosomal RNA". It matches the Rfam family "Bacterial small subunit ribosomal RNA", at positions 339 to 794 of the family's 1533-position model. The record is from RNAcentral.